RNAcentral lists this ribosomal RNA (497 nucleotides) under uncultured bacterium. RNAcentral describes it as "partial 16S ribosomal RNA". It matches the Rfam family "Bacterial small subunit ribosomal RNA", at positions 28 to 507 of the family's 1533-position model. The record is from RNAcentral.
GAUGAACGCUGGCGGCGUGCCUAAUACAUGCAAGUCGAGCGAACAGACGAGGAGCUUGCUCCUCUGACGUUAGCGGCGGACGGGUGAGUAACACGUGGAUAACCUACCUAUAAGACUGGGAUAACUUCGGGAAACCGGAGCUAAUACCGGAUAAUAUAUUGAACCGCAUUGUUCAAUAGUGAAAGACGGUUUUGCUGUCACUUAUAGAUGGAUCCGCGCCGCAUUAGCUAGUUGGUAAGGUAACGGCUUACCAAGGCAACGAUGCGUAGCCGACCUGAGAGGGUGAUCGGACACACUGGAACUGAGACACGGUCCAGACUCCUACGGGAGGCAGCAGUAGGGAAUCUUACGCAAUGGGCGAAAGCCUGACGGAGCAACGCCGCGUGAGUGAUGAAGGUCUUCGGAUCGUAAAACUCUGUUAUUAGGGAAGAACAAAUGUGUAAGUAACUAUGCACGUCUUGACGGUACCUAAUCAGAAAGCCACGGCUAACUACGUG